CGGGGUGUGGCUCAGCCUGGUAGAGCACUGCGUUCGGGACGCAGGGGUCGGAGGUUCGAAUCCUCUCACCCCGACCA
This 77-nucleotide transfer RNA is filed under the name Rhodocyclaceae bacterium. RNAcentral's name for it is "tRNA-Pro". It matches the Rfam family "tRNA". From Rfam's summary of the family: Transfer RNA (tRNA) molecules are approximately 80 nucleotides in length. Their secondary structure includes four short double-helical elements and three loops (D, anti-codon, and T loops). Lineage: Bacteria; Pseudomonadati; Pseudomonadota; Betaproteobacteria; Rhodocyclales; Rhodocyclaceae. The record is from RNAcentral.